AAUUGCUUGACCGAAUGCUAAGGUUUCUACCUUGAAAGUAGAUAAAAGAAGUUAAAUUCUUCUAGUAAUUU
RNAcentral lists this transfer RNA (71 nucleotides) under Dicranocentrus wangi. Its description in RNAcentral is "tRNA-Ser". It matches the Rfam family "tRNA". Rfam says of the family: Transfer RNA (tRNA) molecules are approximately 80 nucleotides in length. Their secondary structure includes four short double-helical elements and three loops (D, anti-codon, and T loops). The record is from RNAcentral. Lineage: Eukaryota; Metazoa; Arthropoda; Collembola; Entomobryomorpha; Entomobryidae.